GCCAAUCAUUAGCUCCAACAAUUAAUAACACAACUAUUUAUCAUCACUGACCAAAACAUCCAACUUAUCUUAGUAUAGGAGAUAGAAAAGCACUACGGACGCAAUAAUGUUAGUACCGCAAGGGAAAACUGAAAGACUAAUUCAAAGCACCUAAAAGCAAAGACUUACCCUUGUACCUUUUGCAUAAUGAUUUAGCCAGAAUAACCGGACAAAAAGAAUUUAAGCCCGCCUUCCCGAAAUCAAGUGAGCUACUAUAAAACAGCUGCACAGAGCUAACUCUUCUAUGUUGCAAAAUAGUGAGAAGAUUUUAUAGUAGAAGUGAAAAGCCUACCGAACUUGAAGAUAGCUGGUUGUCCAAAAUACGAAUUUCAGUUCAACUUUAAAUUUAAUUAAAGCACAAAUCUAAAGCACAAUUUAAAUUUAAAAGCUACUCAUAAGGGGAUCAUCCCUUAUGAUUACGUAAACAAACUUUACUAGAGGAUAAUGAUUAACAAAAAUACAUUGUAGGCUUAAAAGCAGCCAUCAAUUAAGAAAGCGUUAAAGCUCAAACUCAAAAUAACCCAUAAUUCCAACCAUAUUACCAAACUCCCUAUAUCUAUUAUUGGACGACUCUAUAAAUCUAUAGAAGACAUACUGCUAAAAUCAGUAACAAGAAAUACUUCUCCUUGCAUGAGCCUACAUUAGCAACGGAACUAUCCACUAAUAAUUAACAAAUCAAUAAUUAUAAACAAACAACUAGUAAAUUAUUUAAACCAAUUGUUAAUCCAACACAGGAAUGCAUAAAGGAAAGAUUAAAAAGAAUAAAAGGAACUCGGCAAACAUAAACCCCGCCUGUUUACCAAAAACAUCACCUCUAGAAUUACAAAUAUUAGAGGCAACGCCUGCCCAGUGAGUCCAACUUUAACGGCCGCGGUAUCCUGACCGUGCAAAGGUAGCAUAAUCACUUGUCCCCUAAAUAGAGACUUGUAUGAAUGGCAUCACGAGGGUUUAACUGUCUCUUAUCCUUAAUCAGUGAAAUUGACCUUCCCGUGCAGAGGCGGGAAUACUAUUACAAGACGAGAAGACCCUGUGGAGCUUAAGAAUAUUAACCUAUGAGCAAACAAUUUCAACCUAAUGGGAUAAAACUAUACUCAUUCAGAUUAUACAUCUUCGGUUGGGGUGACCUCGGAGUACAAGCAAACCUCCGAAUGAUAUAACCUAGAUUAACCAAUCCAAGUGUUAAAAACCAGUAAUUGACCCAUACAUUGAUCAACGGACCAAGUUACCCCAGGGAUAACAGCGCAAUCCUAUUAAAGAGCCCAUAUCGACAAUUAGGGUUUACGACCUCGAUGUUGGAUCAGGACAUCCAAAUGGUGUAACCGCUAUUAAUGGUUCGUUUGUUCAACGAUUAAAGUCCUACGUGAUCUGAGUUCAGACCGGAGAAAUCCAGGUCGGUUUCUAUCUGUAUAUUCAUUUCUCCCAGUACGAAAGGACAAGAGAAAUAGGGCCUACAUUAUUAAUGAGCCCCAGAAUAAGAUAUGAUCUAAUCUAAAUAUCUUAACACAAUAACUUUAUGCUCUAGAAAAGAGCCA
This 1571-nucleotide ribosomal RNA is filed under the name Pseudochirops archeri (green ringtail possum). RNAcentral's name for it is "16S ribosomal RNA". It matches the Rfam family "Bacterial large subunit ribosomal RNA", at positions 379 to 2837 of the family's 2925-position model. The record is from RNAcentral. Lineage: Eukaryota; Metazoa; Chordata; Mammalia; Diprotodontia; Pseudocheiridae.